UCUUACGGCCAUACAACCUUGUCUGCGCCAGAUCUCAUCUGAUCCCGGAAGCUAAGCAGGAUCGAGCCUGGUUAGUACUUGGAUGGGAGACUGCGUGGGAACACCAGGUGCUGUAAGCU
This 119-nucleotide ribosomal RNA is filed under the name Sinocyclocheilus grahami. The record is from RNAcentral. Lineage: Eukaryota; Metazoa; Chordata; Actinopteri; Cypriniformes; Cyprinidae.